Molecule: ribosomal RNA, 460 nt
Filed under: uncultured bacterium
Lineage: Bacteria
Description: partial 16S ribosomal RNA
Rfam family: Bacterial small subunit ribosomal RNA
Source: RNAcentral
CCUACGGGGGGCAGCAGUGAGGAAUAUUGGUCAAUGGGCGCGAGCCUGACCCAGCCACGUCGCGUGAAGGAUGACUGCCCUACGGGUUGUAAACUUCUUUUAUAAAGGAAUACAGUGAUGCACGUGUGCCUUUUUGUAUGUACUUUAUGAAUAAGGAUCGGCUAACUCCGUGUCAGCAGCCGCGGUAAUACGGAGGAUCCGAGCGUUAUCCGGAUUUAUUGGGUUUAAAGGGAGCGUAGAUGGGUUGUUAAGUCAGUUGUGAAAGUUUGCGGCUCAAACGUAAAAUUGCAAUUUAUACUGGCAGCCUUGAGUGCAGGAGAGGUAAGCGGAAUUCGUGGUGUAGCGGUGAAAUGCUUAGAUAUCACGAAGAACACCGAUUGCGAAGGCAGCUUACUAAACUGCCACUGACAUUGAUGCUCGAAAGUGUGGGUAUCAAACAGGAUUGGAUACCCGGGUAGUC